RNAcentral lists this ribosomal RNA (1351 nucleotides) under uncultured bacterium. RNAcentral's name for it is "bacterial SSU rRNA". It matches the Rfam family "Bacterial small subunit ribosomal RNA", at positions 28 to 1381 of the family's 1533-position model. The record is from RNAcentral.
AUUGAACGCUGGUGGCAUGCCUUACACAUGCAAGUCGAACGGUAACGGGUCCUUCGGGAUGCCGACGAGUGGCGAACGGGUGAGUAAUAUAUCGGAACGUGCCCAGUAGUGGGGGAUAACUGCUCGAAAGAGCAGCUAAUACCGCAUACGACCUGAGGGUGAAAGGGGGGGAUCGCAAGACCUCUCGCUAUUGGAGCGGCCGAUAUCAGAUUAGCUAGUUGGUGGGGUAAAGGCCUACCAAGGCAACGAUCUGUAGUUGGUCUGAGAGGACGACCAGCCACACUGGGACUGAGACACGGCCAGACUCCUACGGGAGGCAGCAGUGGGGAAUUUUGGACAAUGGGCGCAAGCCUGAUCCAGCAAUGCCGCGUGCAGGAAGAAGGCCUUCGGGUUGUAAACUGCUUUUGUCAGGGAAGAAAUCUUCUGGGCUAAUACCCCGGGAGGAUGACGGUACCUGAAGAAUAAGCACCGGCUAACUACGUGCCAGCAGCCGCGGUAAUACGUAGGGUGCGAGCGUUAAUCGGAAUUACUGGGCGUAAAGCGUGCGCAGGCGGCUUUGCAAGACAGAUGUGAAAUCCCCGGGCUCAACCUGGGAACUGCAUUUGUGACUGCAAGGCUAGAGUACGGCAGAGGGGGAUGGAAUUCCGCGUGUAGCAGUGAAAUGCGUAGAUAUGCGGAGGAACACCAAUGGCGAAGGCAAUCCCCUGGGCCUGUACUGACGCUCAUGCACGAAAGCGUGGGGAGCAAACAGGAUUAGAUACCCUGGUAGUCCACGCCCUAAACGAUGUCAACUGGUUGUUGGACGGCUUGCUGUUCAGUAACGAAGCUAACGCGUGAAGUUGACCGCCUGGGGAGUACGGCCGCAGGGUUGAAACUCAAAGGAAUUGACGGGGACCCGCACAAGCGGUGGAUGAUGUGGUUUAAUUCGAUGCAACGCGAAAAACCUUACCUACCCUUGACAUGUCAAGAAUUCUGCAGAGAUGUGGAAGUGCUCGAAAGAGAACUUGAACACAGGUGCUGCAUGGCCGUCGUCAGCUCGUGUCGUGAGAUGUUGGGUUAAGUCCCGCAACGAGCGCAACCCUUGUCAUUAGUUGCUAUGCAAGAGCACUCUAAUGAGACUGCCGGUGACAAACCGGAGGAAGGUGGGGAUGACGUCAGGUCCUCAUGGCCCUUAUGGGUAGGGCUACACACGUCAUACAAUGGCCGGUACAGAGGGCUGCCAACCCGCGAGGGGGAGCCAAUCCCAGAAAACCGGUCGUAGUCCGGAUCGUAGUCUGCAACUCGACUGCGUGAAGUCGGAAUCGCUAGUAAUCGCGGAUCAGCUUGCCGCGGUGAAUACGUUCCCGGGUCU